GGCCGGCCGACGUCGAAUCCCGGAGGCCGUCAGGGCCACGGGAACCGGGGACCCACUUCUUGGGGUGAAUCCGCCGCGAACCUGCGGCGGUAGGGCAACUCCACCGCCCGAAUCCGUCAGCUAACCCGGUAGACGAGAUGGAGAGGAGAU
This 150-nucleotide small RNA is filed under the name Streptosporangium roseum. RNAcentral's name for it is "c-di-AMP sequence". It matches the Rfam family "c-di-AMP riboswitch aptamer (ydaO/yuaA leader)". From Rfam's summary of the family: This family represents a conserved RNA structure found upstream of the ydaO and yuaA genes in Bacillus subtilis and related genes in other bacteria. The ydaO/yuaA element is thought to act as a genetic "off" switch for the ydaO and yuaA genes in its native state. The record is from RNAcentral. Lineage: Bacteria; Bacillati; Actinomycetota; Actinomycetes; Streptosporangiales; Streptosporangiaceae. RNAcentral also lists the same sequence under 1 other name.